UCUACUCACUACUGUAAGUCGCUCUGGAUAAGAGUGUCUGCUAAAUGACUAAAA
Salmo salar (Atlantic salmon) is the source of this 54-nucleotide non-coding RNA. The record is from Rfam. NCBI's taxonomy places the organism in Eukaryota, Metazoa, Chordata, Actinopteri, Salmoniformes, Salmonidae.